RNAcentral lists this unclassified non-coding RNA (378 nucleotides) under plant metagenome. RNAcentral describes it as "partial contains 5.8S ribosomal RNA, internal transcribed spacer 2, and large subunit ribosomal RNA". The stretch from base 1 to 105 matches the Rfam family "5.8S ribosomal RNA", at positions 50 to 154 of the family's 154-position model. The record is from RNAcentral.
GAAAUGCGAUAAGUAAUGUGAAUUGCAGAAUUCAGUGAAUCAUCGAAUCUUUGAACGCACCUUGCGCUCCUUGGUAUUCCUUGGAGCAUGCCUGUUUGAGUAUCUUGAAAUCUUCAAAGUAAAUCUUUUGUUAACUCAAUUGGUUUCUACUUUGGUAUUGGAGGUCUUUGCAGCUUCACACCUGCUCCUCUUUGUUCAUUAGCUGGAUCUCAGUGUUAUGCUUGGUUCCACUCGGCGUGAUAAGUUAUCUAUCGCUGAGGACACUGUAAAGGGUGGCCAAGGUAAAUGCAGAUGAACCGCUUCUAAUAGUCCAUUGACUUGGACAAUACUUUUAUGAUCUGAUCUCAAAUCAGGUAGGACUACCCGCUGAACUUAAGC